RNAcentral lists this ribosomal RNA (468 nucleotides) under uncultured bacterium. RNAcentral describes it as "partial 16S ribosomal RNA". It matches the Rfam family "Bacterial small subunit ribosomal RNA", at positions 28 to 507 of the family's 1533-position model. The record is from RNAcentral.
GACGAACGCUGGCGGCGUGCUUAACACAUGCAAGUCGAACGGAAAGGCCCUGCUUUUUUGGGGGGCUCGAGUGGCGAACGGGUGAGUAGCAAGUGAGUAACCUGCCCUUGACUUUGGGAUAACUUCAGGAAACUGGGGCUAAUACCGGAUAGGAGCUCCUGCUGCAUGGUGGGGGUUGGAAAGUUUCGGCGGUUGGGGAUGGACUGGCGGCUUAUCAGCUUGUUGGUGGGGUAGUGGCUUACCAAGGCUUUGACGGGUAGCCGGCCUGAGAGGGUGACCGGCCACAUUGGGACUGAGAUACGGACGCGACUCCUGCGGGAGGCAGCAGUGGGGAAUAUUGCACAAUGGGCGGAAGCCUGAUGCAGCAACGCCGCGUGCGGGAUGACGGCCUUCGGGUUGUAAACCGCUUUCGCCUGUGACGAAGCGUGAGUGACGGUAAUGGGUAAAGAAGCACCGGCUAACUACGUG